RNAcentral lists this ribosomal RNA (528 nucleotides) under Salmonella enterica subsp. enterica serovar Typhimurium. Its description in RNAcentral is "partial 23S ribosomal RNA". It matches the Rfam family "Bacterial large subunit ribosomal RNA", at positions 99 to 668 of the family's 2925-position model. The record is from RNAcentral. Lineage: Bacteria; Pseudomonadati; Pseudomonadota; Gammaproteobacteria; Enterobacterales; Enterobacteriaceae.
UAUAACCGGCGAUACCCGAAUGGGGAAACCCAGUGUGAUUCGUCACACUAUCAUUAACUGAAUCCAUAGGUUAAUGAGGCGAACCGGGGGAACUGAAACAUCUAAGUACCCCGAGGAAAAGAAAUCAACCGAGAUUCCCCCAGUAGCGGCGAGCGAACGGGGAGGAGCCCAGAGCCUGAAUCAGCAUGUGUGUUAGUGGAAGCGUCUGGAAAGGCGCGCGAUACAGGGUGACAGCCCCGUACACAAAAGCGCAUGUGCUGUGAGCUCGAUGAGUAGGGCGGGACACGUGGUAUCCUGUCUGAAUAUGGGGGGACCAUCCUCCAAGGCUAAAUACUCCUGACUGACCGAUAGUGAACCAGUACCGUGAGGGAAAGGCGAAAAGAACCCCGGCGAGGGGAGUGAAAAAGAACCUGAAACCGUGUACGUACAAGCAGUGGGAGCACAGGUUUACCUGUGUGACUGCGUACCUUUUGUAUAAUGGGUCAGCGACUUAUAUUCUGUAGCAAGGUUAACCGUAUAGGGGAGCCG